GGGUAUAUAGCUCAGUGGUAGAGUGCAUGCCUGGCAUACACAAGGUCUUGGGUUCAAUCCCUGGUACCUCCU
RNAcentral lists this transfer RNA (72 nucleotides) under Camelus bactrianus (Bactrian camel). It matches the Rfam family "tRNA". From Rfam's summary of the family: Transfer RNA (tRNA) molecules are approximately 80 nucleotides in length. RNAcentral also lists the same sequence under 1 other name. Lineage: Eukaryota; Metazoa; Chordata; Mammalia; Artiodactyla; Camelidae. The record is from Rfam by way of RNAcentral.